UGUGUAAGUCUGAGUGGUACGACUUUUCCGACACCAUACGAGAAGCAAUGAUUUUAAAAGCAGUUGAUAUAUUAACAUUAACUCGAAUUAUGUUAACUAGGCUAUACAGGCUGAGAAAAUACAUAAUAAUCCACUCAAUACAGGCUUAGGUAAUGCGUAAGUCUGAUCGGUACGACUUUUCCGACACCAAACAAAGAGUGAUGAUUUUAAAAGCAGUUGCUAUAUUAACAUUAACUCAUAUUAUGUUAACUAGGCUAUACAGGCUGAGAAAAUACAUAAUAAUCCACUCAAUACAGGCUUAGGUAAUGUGUAAGUCUGACCGAUACGACUUUUCUGACGCCAAACAAAAAGUGAUGAUUUUAAAAGCAGUUGAUAUAUUAACAUUAACUCAUAUUAUGUUAACUAGGCUAUACAGACUGAGAAAAUACAUAAUAAUCCACUCAAUACAGGCUUAGGUAAUGCGUAAGUCUGACCGAUACGACUUUUCCGACACCAAAUGAAAAGUGAUGAUUAAAAAGCGCAAUCGAUAUAUUAACAUUAACUCAUAUUGUGUUAACUCGGCUAUACAGACCGAGAAAAUACAUAACAAUAGCCUAGAUGACACAGUACAAGCGUAGGUAAUAUAUAUCGCGACCCGUACGACUUUUCCGGCAAAAUACGAGAAGAAGUUACGAUUCAAAACCAGAGUCGGGGUUACGGAGCGACGAGGGAACGGCCGGCAGCGACUUCAAGGCUACGGGAGUGUACUGUACAUAACUAUAUACCGGUUUGUGCUUGUCUGUUUAUGCGUACGUAUCCAUGCGGGUGCCAGGCCACGCGCAUGUGUUCGUACAGAAGGAAGGUUAUCAAUACAUGCAUCGGUGUGUGUGUGUGUAUGUAUAUUCUUUGGUAGCGAUGUAGCGUGACACAAUUGGGUUGAAAGGGCGUGAGCUGCCCCUUCGUUUCUCCCUGUUACAACCAACCUGUACACAAUAAAGCUGUAAAGUUA
This is a long non-coding RNA of Eriocheir sinensis (Chinese mitten crab), 988 nucleotides long. RefSeq lists it as uncharacterized. NCBI's taxonomy places the organism in Eukaryota, Metazoa, Arthropoda, Malacostraca, Decapoda, Varunidae. The record is from RefSeq and is a predicted model, not a curated record. The transcript has 2 exons.